AGAUGGCACCCAGAUCGCUGUUCAGCUUCAGGGAGUUCACAGUUUGUAGAAGAAGCGAAACAGAAUUUUCAGGCAAUACAACAGGCCUACUCUGUUCUCUCUGACGCCAACAAGAGGUUUCUGUACGAUGUAGGUGCUUAUGACAGCGAUGAAGACGAGAACGGAAUGGGUGAUUUUCUGAGUGAAAUGGCAACCAUGAUGAGCAAAACAAAGCCUAAUGAAAAUGGGGAAAGCUUCGAGGAGUUGCAAGAAUUGUUUGAACAAAUUUUUCAGGAGGAUAUCGAGUCAUUUGGAGGAAGCUGUCAAGCUGCUGCUGCUGCUCCUACUACUACUUUGUCUUCUUCUACCUCUUCUUCUUAUGCAUCUUACAGUGAAAGUUCCCGCUGCAACGACAAGCGUAAUUCCUCUGAGAUGAACUUCGGGGGGUUCAAUGAUGUGGAGGGGACUCUUGGCUUUGGCUCUCACUUUCAGAAAUUCUGUUUAGGGACAGGUGGAACACCAGCAAAAUUUCAAGAAAGGGAAGGGAGCAAGAGGAGGAGUAAUGCAAGGAGGAGCAGGAGGUAGAAGUGGAAAGGGACAUGGCAGGAAACCAAAGGUUUCUUCAUCUGGCCUUAAUGUGUCCUCCCAAGACCAUGGAAUUUCUACUUCAUGAAACCAUGGUUGCACCACCACUACCACCAACUCGCUCACUUCCUCGGCUGAUACGGAUGCAAAUCGGCUGUGAAGGAGAUUAAUUAAGUAUGGCAUUGCCUGGCCAACACAGACUCAUGGGCGUAAUUCUUGUUCGUCUUAACGGGUGAAGAAGCAACCAAGAAACACUGGAAACCAAAACCAAAGCAAGUUUCUAAGCAGGGUGGCGACGCUCACAGUGAAAAUUUGUGGUUGUUGACACUCCUGUUUAACUUUGUUCGGGGGCAGUGUUUACCUCUUAGUUGUUU
This 938-nucleotide unclassified non-coding RNA is filed under the name Hevea brasiliensis (rubber tree). The record is from RNAcentral. Lineage: Eukaryota; Viridiplantae; Streptophyta; Magnoliopsida; Malpighiales; Euphorbiaceae.